CUCUUCUUCAAAGGCUUCUAACAUUGCAAGACCAACUAUUGGCAAGUUCGAAGUCUUUAAGGGGAGUG
RNAcentral lists this microRNA precursor (68 nucleotides) under Aquilegia coerulea. RNAcentral describes it as "Aquilegia caerulea miR477d stem-loop (aqc-MIR477d)". Its record names the gene aqc-MIR477d. Lineage: Eukaryota; Viridiplantae; Streptophyta; Magnoliopsida; Ranunculales; Ranunculaceae. The record is from miRBase by way of RNAcentral.